Molecule: transfer RNA, 76 nt
Filed under: Desulfobacterales bacterium
Lineage: Bacteria; Pseudomonadati; Thermodesulfobacteriota; Desulfobacteria; Desulfobacterales
Also listed under: 4 other names
Description: tRNA-Thr
Rfam family: tRNA
About the family: Transfer RNA (tRNA) molecules are approximately 80 nucleotides in length. Their secondary structure includes four short double-helical elements and three loops (D, anti-codon, and T loops). Further hydrogen bonds mediate the characteristic L-shaped molecular structure. tRNAs have two regions of fundamental functional importance: the anti-codon, which is responsible for specific mRNA codon recognition, and the 3' end, to which the tRNAs corresponding amino acid is attached (by aminoacyl-tRNA synthetases). tRNAs cope with the degeneracy of the genetic code in two manners: having more than one tRNA (with a specific anti-codon) for a particular amino acid; and 'wobble' base-pairing, i.e. permitting non-standard base-pairing at the 3rd anti-codon position.
Source: RNAcentral
GCCGGCGUAGCUCAGUUGGUAGAGCAGCUGAUUCGUAAUCAGCAGGCAGGCGGUUCGAAUCCGCCCGUCGGCUCCA